AGCGAACGCUGGCGGCAGGCCUAACACAUGCAAGUCGAACGAACUCUUCGGAGUUAGUGGCGGACGGGUGAGUAACACGUGGGAACGUGCCUUUAGGUUCGGAAUAACUCAGGGAAACUUGUGCUAAUACCGAAUGUGCCCUUCGGGGGAAAGAUUUAUCGCCUUUAGAGCGGCCCGCGUCUGAUUAGCUAGUUGGUGAGGUAAAGGCUCACCAAGGCGACGAUCAGUAGCUGGUCUGAGAGGAUGAUCAGCCACAUUGGGACUGAGACACGGCCCAAACUCCUACGGGAGGCAGCAGUGGGGAAUCUUGCGCAAUGGGCGAAAGCCUGACGCAGCCAUGCCGCGUGAAUGAUGAAAGUCUUAGGAUUGUAAAAUUCUUUCACCGGGGACGAUAAUGACGGUACCCUGAGAAGAAGCCCCGGCUAACUUCGUG
This 433-nucleotide ribosomal RNA is filed under the name uncultured bacterium. RNAcentral's name for it is "partial 16S ribosomal RNA". It matches the Rfam family "Bacterial small subunit ribosomal RNA", at positions 29 to 507 of the family's 1533-position model. The record is from RNAcentral.